GUGGCGAACGGGUGAGUAACACGUGAGCAAUCUGCCCUUGACUCUGGGAUAACUGCGGGAAACUGUAGCUAAUACCGGAUACUUUCCUCGCUGGGCAUCCAGCGGGGAAGAAAGAAUUUCGGUCAAGGAUGAGCUCGCGGCCUAUCAGCUAGUUGGUGAGGUAAUGGCUCACCAAGGCGACGACGGGUAGCCGGCCUGAGAGGGUGACCGGCCACACUGGAACUGAGACACGGUCCAGACUCCUACGGGAGGCAGCAGUGGGGAAUAUUGCACAAUGGGCGAAAGCCUGAUGCAGCAACGCCGCGUGAGGGAUGAAGGCCUUCGGGUUGUAAACCUCUUUUAGCAGGGAAGAAGCGAAAGUGACGGUACCUGCAGAAAAAGCACCGGCUAACUACGUGCCAGCAGCCGCGGUAAUACGUAGGGUGCAAGCGUUGUCCGGAAUUAUUGGGCGUAAAGAGCUCGUAGGCGGUUUGUCACGUCUGCUGUGAAAAUCCGAGGCUCAGCCUCGGACUUGCAGUGGGUACGGGCAGGCUAGAGUGCGGUAGGGGAGAAGGGAAUUCCUGGUGUAGCGGUGGAAUGCGCAGAUAUCAGGAGGAACACCAAUGGCGAAGGCACUUCUCUGGGCCGUAACUGACGCUGAGGAGCGAAAGCGUGGGGAACGAACAGGAUUAGAUACCCUGGUAGUCCAC
Molecule: ribosomal RNA, 689 nt
Filed under: uncultured Microbacteriaceae bacterium
Lineage: Bacteria; Bacillati; Actinomycetota; Actinomycetes; Micrococcales; Microbacteriaceae
Description: bacterial SSU rRNA
Rfam family: Bacterial small subunit ribosomal RNA
Source: RNAcentral